CCUUGGCCCAGGAAAGAUCAUGGAAGGCUGGUCACAAACCAAGCCAGAUGUUGACUUUCGUAAGACCAGCGAAUAGAGACAGGAGUUUCUUUUAUACUUAGAGAAACCAGAGUUUCACAGUAAUGUAACAACACAAGUGAAUAGUGAUAACUAGCUGAGUGCAUAGAAAGACCCAAUCCUCUUAAACCAGAUUGAUUUUCAUGGCCUUAAUUCACUUCUCCUUCUCUGCUUUGAUGUCCUACUGACUGUUGAGCCAGAAUGCUAAAUCACAGAUGAUGGAAUGGAGGAAAGAGAAGUAAAGGAGAGCCAUCAAAUCAGACAAAAGCUAUCUGUCUCUUUGGAGAGACAACCUCUGGGCUCAUCCACUGCGUUACAUUCUUAGAGCUUGUAGAAGAGUGGUUAUUAAAUAUUUUCAAGGCUACAGACUCCUUCAAGAAU
Pongo pygmaeus (Bornean orangutan) is the source of this 438-nucleotide long non-coding RNA. RefSeq lists it as uncharacterized. The record is from RefSeq and is a predicted model, not a curated record. Lineage: Eukaryota; Metazoa; Chordata; Mammalia; Primates; Hominidae. The transcript is spliced from 3 exons.